AUUCGGGGGCAACUCUGAUGAAAGCGGCGGACUGGUGAGAAACGCGUGGGUGACCUACCUUUAGGCUGGGGAUAGCCGUUAGAAAUAGCGGGUAAUACCGAAUACGGUUGUUUGACUAUGGUUGAACAAAGAAAGGAGCUACGGCUCCGCCUGGAGAUGGGCCCGCGUCCCAUUAGCUAGUUGGGGGUGUAAAGGACCACCGAGGCGAAGAUGGGUAGCCGGCCUGAGAGGGUGAACGGCCACACUGGGACUGAGAUACGGCCCAGACUCCUACGGGAGGCAGCAGCUAAGAAUAUUCCACAAUGGACGGAAGUCUGAUGGAGCGACGCCGCGUGGAUGAGGAAGGCCGAAAGGUUGUAAAAUUCUUUUGCGGACGAAGAAUAAUCGCGGUAGGGAAUGACCGUGAGAUGACGUUAGUCUGUGAAUAAGCCCCGGCUAAUUACGUGCCAGCAGCCGCGGUAACACGUAAGGGGCGAGCGUUGUUCGGAAUUAUUGGGCGUAAAGGGCGCGUAGGCGGCCUAGUAAGUCUGAUGUGAAAACCCCGGGCUCAACCCGGGAACUGCAUUGGAAACUGCGAGGCUUGAGUCACGGAGGGGGAAUCGGAAUUCCUGGUGUAGGGGUGAAAUCUGUAGAUAUCAGGAAGAACACCGGUGGCGAAGGCGGAUUUCCAGCCGAUGACUGACGCUGAGGCGCGAAAGUGCGGGGAGCAAACAGGAUUAGAUACCCUGGUAGUCCGCACUAUAACGAUGCACACUAGUGUCGGGGCGAGCGUCUCGGUG
Molecule: ribosomal RNA, 779 nt
Filed under: uncultured bacterium
Lineage: Bacteria
Description: bacterial SSU rRNA
Rfam family: Bacterial small subunit ribosomal RNA
Source: RNAcentral